UCCCUGAUGGUCCAGUGGUUAGGACACUGUGCUCCCAAUGCAGGGGCCCCAGGUUUAAUUCCUAGUCAGGGAA
Molecule: non-coding RNA, 73 nt
Organism: Lipotes vexillifer (Yangtze River dolphin)
Lineage: Eukaryota; Metazoa; Chordata; Mammalia; Artiodactyla; Lipotidae
Source: the annotation of a RefSeq genome assembly